ACAUCACUGAAACUUCCUGGAUUUAAUUUCCAGAGCCUCAGAGCAGAAAACAGCCACAAAUUAAAUCUUGGGGAUAUUCAACAGCAGUUGCUUCAGUCAGAGCUCCUCAGUAGGAGAAAGAGUCAGGGGAAGGAUUUUUUUUAUUUAAGAGCUCCAGGGUGGAUCUCACUCAGUGGCAGAGGUAAGAAUUUCUUUUUGAGGAGCUCCAGGGUGGAUCUCACUCAGUGGCAGGGUAAGAAUUUCUUUUUGAGGAGCUCCAGGCUGGAUCUCUCUCAGUGGCAGAGGCAAGAAUUUCUUUUUGUACCAUUUCUGAUCUGUUCUCAGACACCCUCACACCUCUGCCCUGGGGGAUCAGACAUCUCCAGGUCUCUGUUUCAACAACAAAAAAAGAGAAAGAUUCUGCUCAGAUCGGAGAGGAGCUCCAGGGUGGAUCUCACUCAGUGGCAGGGUAAGAAUUUCUUUUUGAGGAGCUCCAGGGUGGAUCCCACUCAGUGUCAGGGUAAGAAUUUCUUUUUUGAGGAGCUCCAGGCUGGAUCUCUCUCAGUGGCAGAGGUAAGGAUUUCUUUUUGUACCAUUUCUGAUCUGUUCUCAGACACCCUCACAAGGCAAGAAUUUCUUUUUGUACCAUUUCUGAUCUGUUCUCAGACACCCUCACACCUCUGCCCUGGGGGAUCAGACAUCUCCAGGUCUCUGUUUCAACAACAAAAAAAGAGAAAGAUUCUGCUCAGGAAGGAGGGAGGGAUCACAAUGAAGAGCCACCUCCCAGUGGGAGCCAGGAUUUCCCAGUGUCUCUGCUGGAAUGGGAUAAACAGCCCCUUCAAAAGGGAAAAGCUGACAGAACUGCAGCAAUUUUCCUAUUUCUGUGGGAAUAACUCUUCCAGCCUCCAAGCAAGUGCACAUCCAGAGGGAACAGCCACACCUGGCAGCAGGGAUGGGACUGAAAUGCCCAGGAACCGAGUGCAGCUGGAAAAUCCCUCUUGGGAAAUAAGGAAAUAACUGAAGGAAAUUACUUGACGAGUUCUGCACAACGAACACAUACAGUAGCAAGACUCCAGCACCACCUUGACAGAGUAUCUUUAAAAAAAAAAAACAACCCUCAAAGAACCCAAGAAAGAUUGAUUUUUACUUCCUAGUCAGCAGAAAGUAGCCACAACUUUGUUUUCCUUUAGGAAUUGGUUGGAUCCUACUCCUUUCCAAGCACCCGUGGGUGCCAUGUCUGCUCAGAGCUCUGGAUGCAUCCCAGGGCAGUAUCCCAGAUACCAGCCAGCAGUCGUUUUGUCCUUGCAAGAGAAAAAAGCAGGGGAAAAAAAAAAAAAAUCAAAGUGCUCCUAUGCAUUGUCAGGAAUUUCCAAGUCAAUGUGAAAUAGCAGUCCUCCAAUCAGCCCAAAGAGAGACACUAAUUCCACUGAAGUAGGUGCCACAAUGACCAAAGCUCAUUAAGUUGUGAAUAUACACCAGCCAUUCACAAUCCAAAACGAGACGGGGAGGGGGAGAGGGGGAAUAAAAAUAAAACAACAAAAAGAUGCCGUCGAUUUGCUGAUAUUUAACAAUCCCAGGAGAUUUUGUUGUUCAUUUUGUAGGUGGGGGGAGGGGGGGGGAAGGGGGAUGGUGAGGAGAUUUUUGUUGUAUUUCUUUUCUUUUUUGUAUUUUUUCUUUUCUUUUUUUGUAUUUUUUCUUUUCUUUUUGUAUUUUUUCUUUUCUUUUUUGUAUUUUUUCUUUUCCUUUUGUAUUUUUUCUUUUCCUUUUGUAUUUUUUCUUUUCUUUUUUUUUGUUUUUCUUUUGGGGGGGGGGGGGGGGGGGGGGGGGGGGGGGGGGGGGGGGGGGGGGGGGGGGGGGGGGGGGGGGGGGGGGGGGGGGGGGGGGGGGGGGGGGGGGGGGGGGGGGGGGGGGGGGGG
Molecule: long non-coding RNA, 1895 nt
Filed under: Ficedula albicollis (Collared flycatcher)
Lineage: Eukaryota; Metazoa; Chordata; Aves; Passeriformes; Muscicapidae
Description: lncRNA (ENSFALG00000027428.1)
Source: RNAcentral